GUGAUCUAACAUUACCAGGAAAAUUGGAUAAUAAGAUUGAAAAAUUAUACAUAAUUAUAGCCUAUACUUACUACUACUCGGUCCUGAGAGCUUCUUAAUCUGGUGUGCAUUCCCAGUGGAGCUCUGACAAGCAAGAUACACUGGCUGGGAUACUGUGAAGUGCCAAUUGUCUGUUGUCAUCCACUCCUUUGUGACUGGAUGACGCAAAAUAAACUUGGACCUUGGGAAUAUACCUGAUAAGAAGAAAUACAAUAGGGCACAUGAAAUUUCCAAGAAAUGACUCUGACCACAACCAAUUUUUAUCAGAUUUCUUAUGCAUAUUGAUAAAAAAAUUUUGAGC
This is a long non-coding RNA of Amphimedon queenslandica, 340 nucleotides long. RefSeq lists it as uncharacterized. The record is from RefSeq and is a predicted model, not a curated record. The transcript is spliced from 2 exons. NCBI's taxonomy places the organism in Eukaryota, Metazoa, Porifera, Demospongiae, Haplosclerida, Niphatidae.